GUUGGGCCUGCUCGGUGAGAAGAAAAAUUUAACAGCUGCGGUAUUAUAACUGUACUAAGGUAGCAUAAUAAUUUGCCUUAUAAAUUAAGGCUAGAAUGAAUGGUUUGACGAAAAUUAGACUGUCUUUAUUUUAUUUGUUAGAAAUUAAUUUUUAUAGUGAAAAAGCUUGAAUAAUUUAAGGGGACGAGAAGACCCUAUUGAGCUUUGUUUAUUAAUAUUUAAAUAUAAAUAUAUAAUUUAUAUUAUGAAAAUUAUGUUGUAUAUGUAUAUAUAUUUAAUUGGAUUUAAUUUUGAUUGGGGUGAUCAAGGAAUAAAGAUAAAGUAACUUCCUUAAAAUUAAUGAUUGUUUUUAUGGAGUAAUAAACCAAGUUUUUUGCUUAUAAGAUAAGUUACCAUAGGGGUAACAGCGUAAUUUUUUUUGAGAGUUCAUAUUGAAAAAAGAGAUUGCGACCUCGAUGUUGGAUUAAAAAUUACCUUAAGG
This 481-nucleotide ribosomal RNA is filed under the name Callistoctopus minor (long arm octopus). RNAcentral's name for it is "partial 16S ribosomal RNA". It matches the Rfam family "Bacterial large subunit ribosomal RNA", at positions 1852 to 2552 of the family's 2925-position model. Lineage: Eukaryota; Metazoa; Mollusca; Cephalopoda; Octopoda; Octopodidae. The record is from RNAcentral.